Molecule: ribosomal RNA, 213 nt
Filed under: uncultured bacterium
Lineage: Bacteria
Description: partial 16S ribosomal RNA
Rfam family: Bacterial small subunit ribosomal RNA (bases 3-185)
Source: RNAcentral
AGCGCAGGUGGUUUAUUAAGUCUGAUGUGAAAGCCUUCGGCUCAACCGAAGAAGUGCAUCGGAAACUGGGAAACUUGAGUGCAGAAGAGGACAGUGGAACCUCCAUGUGUAGCGGUGAAAUGCGUAGAUAUAUGGAAGAACACCAGUGGCGAAGGCGGCUGUCUGGUCUGUAACUGACGCUGAGGACUCGAAAAGCGAUGGGUAAGCAAAACA